RNAcentral lists this ribosomal RNA (148 nucleotides) under Giardia duodenalis. RNAcentral's name for it is "Giardia intestinalis partial small subunit ribosomal RNA". Lineage: Eukaryota; Fornicata; Diplomonadida; Hexamitidae. The record is from RNAcentral.
ACAACGGUUGCACCCCCCGCGGCGGUCCCUGCUAGCCGGACACCGCUGGCAACCCGGCGCCAAGACGUGCGCGCAAGUGCGGACGCCCGCGGGCGAGCAGCGUGACGCAGCGACGGCCCGCCCGGGCUUCCGGGGCAUCAUCCGGUCG